This is a transfer RNA of Sclerotinia borealis F-4128, 81 nucleotides long. It matches the Rfam family "tRNA". Rfam says of the family: Transfer RNA (tRNA) molecules are approximately 80 nucleotides in length. Their secondary structure includes four short double-helical elements and three loops (D, anti-codon, and T loops). Further hydrogen bonds mediate the characteristic L-shaped molecular structure. tRNAs have two regions of fundamental functional importance: the anti-codon, which is responsible for specific mRNA codon recognition, and the 3' end, to which the tRNAs corresponding amino acid is attached (by aminoacyl-tRNA synthetases). tRNAs cope with the degeneracy of the genetic code in two manners: having more than one tRNA (with a specific anti-codon) for a particular amino acid; and 'wobble' base-pairing, i.e. permitting non-standard base-pairing at the 3rd anti-codon position. NCBI's taxonomy places the organism in Eukaryota, Fungi, Ascomycota, Leotiomycetes, Helotiales, Sclerotiniaceae. The record is from Rfam.
GGCGCCGUGACGGAGUGGUUAACGUGAUUGACUAGAAAUCAAUUCCUUUCGGGGGCGCAUGUUCGAAUCAUGCCGGCGUCG